This is a long non-coding RNA of Caretta caretta (loggerhead turtle), 1237 nucleotides long. RefSeq lists it as uncharacterized. NCBI's taxonomy places the organism in Eukaryota, Metazoa, Chordata, Testudines, Cheloniidae. The record is from RefSeq and is a predicted model, not a curated record.
GGGAGACAAACAAAGGGUUUGUGUCUCUCUGUAUGCUGCUCUUGCCAGAGACAGAACAGGAAUGGAGUCUUAGAACUUUUAACAUUGUAUUUCCGAUUUGUGCACAUUCUCCACAGAGGAUACUACUAGAGCAGUGGAAAAGUAUUGACAGCGACUAUUAGAGCUAUUUUACGAGUUUGGUCUCACCCUGUACUGAAUUCUUGGGUGAAAUCUUGGCCCAUUGAAGUCAAUGGCAAAACUCCCACUCCCUUCAACGGUGUCAGGAUUUUGCUCUGAAACUCUUCAACAGCUGCCAACUAUCAGCUAAGAUUUCACAAACUUCAUAGAAGAGCAAAACAAGACCAGAACACUCCUGCCCCUUUCAUUCAAGUAUCCAUUUCAGAGGUUUAUUGAGGCAUAAAGGUAGGGGCGCUGAACAUCAAAUGAUAAGCAAUUGGAUCAACUGAUUGUAUAGUACAUUAUUGUAUUAUAAAAGUGUAUAGAAUGGGGUCUCUUCUGAAAGCUAAUGACACAGUGGUGAUUAAUACUGUGAAAUGUAUGUACUAAUACUAUAUAAAGAAUACUCAUUGAUAUUAGGCUGUACAGUCUGCCCAGACAGGAGGGAAUGUCACAGAUAUCUACCGCUCUCUUAUGUAAAUGAAGCAUGGCAGAAUCAAAAGAAUGGAAGCCCUAUUUACAUACAGGGGGAUGGGAAGCCCAAAGGAAAGGAAGAACAACAUGAGGUCAGCUUCCAGGUGAACACAGCAAGCCGAGCACGCAAGAGAGCUUCCUGCUUCUUGAACCACCUCACCAAACUUUGGAAGAUUUAUGCAAGGACAGAAUCCAUCUUUGGCAUCCAUCACUAGACAGACAUCAGGGAACAGAGCCCUGGCAAGCUGAGAAAGAUGGCUCCUUCAAUCAAGUCUCUGGACCUGAAUAUAGGGGAGAAAUCUGCUUAGGCAAAGGUCUUUCAACUAAGACAAGGGAAGCCGCACCUUCUUGAGAAGAAGAAUAAACAAAACCUGUAUUUUUCCAGAUUAAGUUUUAGAAGUUUAUUGUGUGUGUACUUAGAUUUAUUUCCUUGUGGAGUUUUACACAGACAAAUGCUUUAAAGUGUAUGUAUGUGCACCUUUCAAAACCCUACCUCUCCAUUAACCAUACCAAACCUGUUAUAAAAUGUAUUUCAAAUACUGUAUUGAGGUCCAGUGUUCCAAUCAUUGCUGUUUGGUCAUAUAUUUUAGUACAAGUCAUAGUUUUA